GAUGAACGCUGGCGGCGUGCCUAAUACAUGCAAGUAGAACGCUGAAGCUUGGUGCUUGCACCGAGCGGAUGAGUUGCGAACGGGUGAGUAACGCGUAGGUAACCUGCCUGGUAGCGGGGGAUAACUAUUGGAAACGAUAGCUAAUACCGCAUAACAGUAGAUAUUGCAUGAUAUCUGCUUGAAAGGUGCAAUUGCAUCACUACCAGAUGGACCUGCGUUGUAUUAGCUAGUUGGUGAGGUAACGGCUCACCAAGGCGACGAUACAUAGCCGACCUGAGAGGGUGAUCGGCCACACUGGGACUGAGACACGGCCCAGACUCCUACGGGAGGCAGCAGUAGGGAAUCUUCGGCAAUGGACGGAAGUCUGACCGAGCAACGCCGCGUGAGUGAAGAAGGUUUUCGGAUCGUAAAGCUCUGUUGUAAGAGAAGAACGAGUGUGAGAGUGGAAAGUUCACACUGUGACGGUAACUUACCAGAAAGGGACGGCUAACUACGUGCCAGCAGCCGCGGUAAUACGUAGGUCCCGAGCGU
RNAcentral lists this ribosomal RNA (531 nucleotides) under uncultured bacterium. RNAcentral describes it as "bacterial SSU rRNA". It matches the Rfam family "Bacterial small subunit ribosomal RNA", at positions 28 to 541 of the family's 1533-position model. The record is from RNAcentral.